GACGUAGGGCGCGAGCGUUGUCCGGAUUUAUUGGGCGUAAAGAGCUCGUAGGCGGCUUGUCGCGUCGACUGUGAAAUCCCGCGGCUCAACUGCGGGUCUGCAGUCGAUACGGGCAGGCUAGAGUUCGGUAGGGGAGACUGGAAUUCCUGGUGUAGCGGUGAAAUGCGCAGAUAUCAGGAGGAACACCGAUGGCGAAGGCAGGUCUCUGGGCCGGAUGACUGACGCUGAGGAGCGAAAGCGUGGGGAGCGAACAGG
Molecule: ribosomal RNA, 255 nt
Filed under: uncultured bacterium
Lineage: Bacteria
Description: partial 16S ribosomal RNA
Rfam family: Bacterial small subunit ribosomal RNA
Source: RNAcentral